CUACCUGGUUGAUCCUGCCAGUGGUAUAUGCUUGUCUCAAAGAUUAAGCCAUGCAAGUGCCAGUAUGAGAAUUUAUACAACGAAACUGCGAAUGGCUCGGUAAAACAGCUAUAAUUUCUUCAGAGGUAAAUACUACUCGGAUAACCGUAGUAAUUCUAGAGCUAAUACGUACGAUUUUAAAAAAGGCGGGAAACAAAAUUUUUUUGUUUGCCGUGGUACAAAUUAGAUAAACAAACCAAUAUUCUUUUUGGUGAUUCAUACUUUUUUUCUGACUUCCCCCUCGGGGGAGGCACUCUGAUCAAAUUUCUGACCUAUCAACUAUGAUGGUAAGGUAGUGGCUUACCAUGGUUGUGACGGGUAACGGACCGUGGGUGCGGGAUUCCGGAGAGGGAGCCUGAGAAACGGCUACCACAUCCAAGGAAGGCAGCAGGCGCGCAAACUACCCAAUCCGAACUUCGGGAGGUGGUGACAAAAAAUAGCAAUAGAGAGCACGAUGUGCUUUCUAAUUGGAAUGAGAACAAUGUAAACGGCUUAUCGAGGAGCCAGCAGAGGGCAAGUCUGGUGCCAGCAGCCGCGGUAAUUCCAGCUCUGUAAGCGUAUAUCAAAGUUGUUGCAGUUAAAACGCUCGUAGUCGAAUUUUGGCGCGCCACCUGUGACCGUCCUACCGGACGGGUGCGCGGGUGGACGUCUUUGUGGACUGGGGGCUCGGUGGUGCUUUACUGCCUCGCCGGGUUCCUGCCACCGUUUACUGUGAAAAAAUUAGAGUGUUCAAAGCAAGCGAUUGCCCUGAAUACAUUAGCAUGGAAUAAUAGAAUAGGACCUGGUUUCUUAUUUUUAUUGGUUUGUAUAUAUCAGGUAAUGAUUAAAAGGGACGGUCGGGGGUAUUUGUAUUCCGGCGCUAGAGGUGAAAUUCUUGGAUUGCCGGAAGACAAACAGCUGCGAAAGCGUCUACCAAGGACGUUUUCAUUGAUCAAGAACGAAAGUAAGGGGAUCGAAGACGAUCAGAUACCGUCGUAGUCUUUACUGUAAACUAUGAGGACUGGGGAUCGGAUGUGGCAGUUUUUUUUGGUACAUUCGGCACCCUCCGGGAAACCAAAGUAUUUGCUUUCUGGGGGGAGUAUGGUCGCAAGUCUGAAACUUAAAGGAAUUGACGGAAGGGCAUCACCGGGUGUGGAGCCUGCGGCUUAAUUUGACUCAACACGGGAAAACUUACCAGGUCCAGACAUAGUGAGGAUUGACAGAUUGAGAGCUCUUUCUUGAUUCUAUGGUUGGUGGUGCAUGGCCGUUCUUAGUUGGUGGAGUGAUCUGUCUGGUUAAUUCCGUUAACGAGCGAGACCUGGGCGUGCUAGCUAGGGGACGCUAUUGCAUUUGUUGCUAGCGCUUUUUUUUUCUCCCUUCCUAGACGGACUGUGGGCGUCUAGCCCACGGAAGCUCCAGGCAAUAACAGGUCUGAGAUGCCCUUAGAUGUUCUGGGCCGCACGCGUGCUACACUGAGCAGAGCAACGGGACAGGUAGUGCGAAAGCACGACCGAAUCUCUAAAUCCGCUCGUGCUGGGGAUUGAGGCUUGCAAUUUUCCCUCCUGAACGAGGAAUACCUUGUAAGCGCGGGUCAUCAUCCCGCGCUGAAUACGUCCCUGCCCUUUGUACACACCGCCCGUCGCUCCUACCGAUUGAGUGGUCCGGUGAGGCCUUGGGAUAAAUUGGUGAGACUGUUUUUACAAACGGACGAGCUGGUUUUAAACUUGGUCAAACCUUAUCACUUAGAGGAAGGAGAAGUCGUAACAAGGUUUCCGUAGGUGAACCUGCGGAAGGAUCAUUCA
RNAcentral lists this ribosomal RNA (1820 nucleotides) under Platysiphonia delicata. RNAcentral's name for it is "SSU rRNA". It matches the Rfam family "Eukaryotic small subunit ribosomal RNA". Lineage: Eukaryota; Rhodophyta; Florideophyceae; Ceramiales; Delesseriaceae. The record is from RNAcentral.